GCUGCAGUAACUUGACUGUGCUAAGGUAGCAUAAUCAAUAGUUUUUUAAUUGAAGGCUUGAAUGAAAGGUUGGAUGAGAGAAAAACUAUCUUGGUUUCAAUAAUAAAAUUUAACUUUUAGGUGAAAAGGCUUAAAUAAAGUAAAGGGACGAUAAGACCCUAUAAAACUUAAUAUAGGUGACAUAAUUUAUUGAAUUUAGUGUAAUAGAGAUUAAAGGGUUAUAUUUUGUUGGGGAGAUAAGAAUAUAAGAUUAAAUAACUGUUUAGUAAAUAGAAUAAAUAUAAUUAGAAUAUGAUCCUUUAUUAGGGAUUUGAAGUUAAAGUUACUUUAGGGAUAACAGCGUAAUUUUUUUUGAGAGUUCUUAUCGACAAAAGUAGUUGCGACCUCGAUGUUGAAUUAAAAUUUUAAUUGAAUGGAGCUGUUUGAUUAGUAGGUCUGUUCGACCUUUAAAAUU
Molecule: ribosomal RNA, 454 nt
Filed under: Euryrhynchus amazoniensis
Lineage: Eukaryota; Metazoa; Arthropoda; Malacostraca; Decapoda; Euryrhynchidae
Description: partial large subunit ribosomal RNA
Rfam family: Bacterial large subunit ribosomal RNA
Source: RNAcentral